Manis pentadactyla (Chinese pangolin) is the source of this 12156-nucleotide long non-coding RNA. RefSeq lists it as uncharacterized. The record is from RefSeq and is a predicted model, not a curated record. Lineage: Eukaryota; Metazoa; Chordata; Mammalia; Pholidota; Manidae. The transcript has 12 exons.
UUUUGAUCUAUAACCCAGUUUCUUUACCUUCUAAAGUAAAAAUUUAGAAGUAGAAACAUUACUUCUAUUGUGUCUUUAUUAUUUUCUCUAACUCAUUGAGACUCUUAGAAUAGAGGCGCUGUUUCCAAAAUAUGGCAUAGACCACAGUGAACUUUCAGAAAACAGCCACUCUGAAAACAAUGAAAAUUUUAAUUUAAUUUCAUUUAUUUCUCUUCUGUCUUCUUAAUAAAGUAGAGCUCUCUUCAUGUUGAGAAGGAGAAAACUCAACUUGUCCUUUCCAGCUUCCCCGUACUUACUCAGCUCAGCAUAUUUAUCGCAGGGAAACUAAGACACUUGCAAAGAAAAAGAGAACUAGGAAAACUAGGAUGAUCAGUGGCAACAAUAUAUGAUUUUUAUUUAAAAGAAACCAUAAUUAUUUGAUAUCGCCAACAAUGAUAGCAAAACAGUCCUAUAAAGAGAAGACUUAAAAAAUAUGUCAACCUCAGCUUUGCUGUGACGGCUGGGCAACUGUUCCUUCUCUUCCCCACUCUCCUCUUUUUAUGUUAACCACGUUAUUAGUGCGACUAAUAAUAAUUUCCCUGAAGAAACUUUGCCUCUAAAGAAUAAUGCCCUUCGUUUUCCCCACGUUGAUUUGCAUGGAAUUACGAAACCAACUUUAUUAUCACAGUCAUUAAAAUCAGUGUAUAUUUCAUUCUGCUUGUACAGGAAGUGACUAUUUGAAGUAUCCAUUUGAAAGAUGACUUAAUGUUUAGAUAGUGAACUCCUAUGUUUAUCAUGUCAAAACCUCAGAGAAAUAUUUUGUUUUCCUAAAGUGCUCUAAAUGGCUGCUCAGUUGCACACAGUUGUGAUUAGCUAUGUGUAUGUAUAUCCACAAAGUUAUUGAUAUUAAAAUAACACUAUUAUAAUGAUACAAUUAGAAUGUUUGAAUUCUAUUCUUCUUUUGUUCCACGGAUUACAGACACUUUUUGAGUCGUAAGUGAAGUAACUUCUUCAGAGUACAGCAUUCCCCCACGAAAACUCUGGCAUUUUUCUUCUUUGCCGAUGAAAGAACUCAUUUGCUGAAACAACUGAUGCACUUGGGAAGAAGUGACAACCCUAUUUUGAUUUCAUUUAACUGACCUUUUACAAUGACUCCUAGAUAGGAAGAAGAUGGUCAUCUGUAAACUAGGAAGUGGGCUCUUACCAAACAUCCAGUCUGCUGGUGCCUUUAUUUUGGACAUCCCAGUCUCCAGAACUGUUUCUGGUUUCUCCACCCAGUCUCCCUACAGUCCUCCACUCCCGGCACCCCGUCCUUCCGGCCUCCACCCAGACUCUCAGAGACCCGACAUUCCAGGUAACCCGACUCCGCAGACGCGGGAGGCCCACGUGACCCGCCCCGCCCACCGCGUGAGCGCCCGCCGCCUUCCGGAAACCAGGGGCAGGCCCCAAACUCUGAAAUUUCAUCUUGUGUGUGAGAACAAGCGUCUUCUGCCGUGAAUGAACUGCUCAGCGACCUCAGUGUGAUUCUCUUGUUCUUUAUGCUCCUGGAUUGAUGAGGCCAGAAACUCUUGUCAAGUGAUCAACCUUUGAUUCCUUGGGAAAAUGGACCUCCACACAAAGUCACCUGAGAUUUGGAUGGAAAUGAUGCCUCCCUUCCACUUUGUGUAUCCCAAAGCCAACAUAACAGCUGGAUAGGAAGGAGGAAGGAACCAAUAUGUAAUAAAUGUCUUCUCUGUUUUACAUACAUUAUCUCAUCUAAUUUUCACAACGCCCUCUGAAGUGAGAGACUGAUAGCACUCCAUUGUGCAGAUGAUGCUCAGAAAUACCCAACACACAGACAAAAGGAAGUAGAGGCUUAAAACAAUUAACUGGAGACUGUGGGACAUGUUUAAGAAUUUGGAUAAGUGAGGCUAAUUUCUCCGUUCUCCCUCAACUUGAAAAUCACUAGAAAAAAGAUUUUGAGAUGCAGUUCCAUUGAUGGCAGUUAAGCUUCUUUUCUGAUACUUCAGUGAUUCAUCUAACAGGGACAUGUCAGGCCCUCAAGGUCCCAUCGAAUUAUGGUGUAAGGCCAGGAGACAGAUGUGUAAGCUACCUGGCCUCAUGGUGAGCUUGCGGCGUGGACUGUACCAAUUGCGUGAGACAGCGUACAAGGCCAUAUAAUAGAGGGGAUUAGUACGGGAUAUGCACGAUUCCAGCGCAGAGUAACAGUGUUCAGGAAUUAGAGCACACUUAGAGGUGUAAGAACUUUAAAGGUCAAGAAGAUUGGUUAAAGAUCUAAACUUCAUGAAACCAGGCUCACCAUUUCAGAUCACCUUCAGAUUAUCAUCUGACUUCUAUGCAUUUGCUAAUUAAAAAAGAAAAACUGCAGAAGACGGAGGUCUGCUUUCCAUGGUGUCUCCGCCUCACCAUGCCAGGGAGUACAGCAGUUACCACAGAGAUUUUCCCUAUGUCUAAAGACUAUUGGAAUCUAGGUUUUUCCAUAAAGGAAUAAUAAUAAAUACCUUCUGUGUAGCAGCCUGGCUUUCUAAUAGGGACAAGAGAUGUAUCAGGCCACAAUCCUUGUAUAAUUUCCUUGAAUAUGGGGAAGAAAGAUGAGCUACAUAAGGUUUUUAUCACAGGCUCUGGUGUCUCUGUAACUCCCUGGUCUGUUGGUUUCGUCUUCCCCUUGCUAUGUAGUCUCCAUUGGAUUAUCCCAAUGCUCUCUGAAAACAAACAAAAGCAAUUUUUUUCUAUUUUUCAUAAAGGAGCAGAAAGAAUCUAUAGACAGCUCUACUACAGACUCCUUUUCUCUUUGGUCCCAAGCAGUGGAAUGGGAAAAUUUCUUUAUUAAUUAUAAUAUAGAAUUAUGUGACCAUAUAAAACAAUUUUGUGUGAUCCAGCAAUUCUUUUUCUGGGUAUAUGCCUUAAAGAUUUGAAAGCAGGGACUCAAAGAAAUACUUGCACACCAUUGUUCAUAGAGCAACAUCAUUCACAAUGGCCAGAAGGUGGAAGCAACCCAAGUGUCCAUUGAUAGAUGUGUGGGUAAACAAAGUGUUGUAUAGACAUUGAAUGGAAUAUCACUCAGCCUUGAAAAGGAAUGAAAUUCUGACACAUGCUAAAAUGAGUAUGAAAGUUGAGCACAUUAUGCUAAGUGAAAUAAGCCUACCACAGCAGGAAAAAUACUGAGUCCUUAUGUGAGGUACUUGGAGUAAUAAAAUUCAUAGUGACAGGAAGUAGAAGGGUGGUUGUGAUGGGCCGGGAAGGAGACCGUAACGAGGAGUUAUUGUUUAAUGGGUACAGAUUUUCAGUUUUUCAAGAUGACAAGAGUUCUGUGGAUGGAUGGCAUUAAUGGUAGCAGAGCAAAUGCAUGCAGUUAAUGCCACCUAACGGCAACUUAAAUGUGGUUAAGAUGAUACAUUUUAUGUUACGUGCAUUUUACUGCUAUUAAAAAUUUUAGAUUUCACCUCUAACAUGUGAAAAUAAUUAUAGGUUGCCUACUGCGUGCUAAAGGUCAAACUAGGUACUUUACGUACGUUAUUCCUGAUAGAUAUUAUUAUUCUCAUUUUACAACUGAGGAAACAGAAGUUCAUAGGAGUUAAAAUAAUUUCAAGAGGUUAUGCAAUUAAGCAGCAGAAAUGCAAUCUGAAUUCACAUCUGUGUACUCUCUGCAUUGCCCCACACUUCUGCUCCCCAUGUGGAACAUAGUUGCGCAGACACACAUACUCUUCCAUAUUUUCAUCUUGGCAUAUAAUAUGUAUUAUUCCUUAGCUUAAGUUAAUUGUGUUAAUUGCUAUACAUACAAAUGUUGAGGUUAACCACUUAAUUAAUAUUGCAAAAUUAAUCCACAUAAUCACGUGGCACGGUCUGACUCUCACUGCCAAAUGAAUCUGAGAGGAAGAGCUGCCUCAAUACAAACAGCUUUAUUGGUUGCCUCAGGAAGCAAGGAAUUAGACUGAUUGCUUAGGCUUCAGGCUUUGUAAUUACAACCUGGCAUUUUAGUAAUUGCAAUUUAAAAUUUCAGUUCCAAAAGGCUUAAGACCAAGUCCAUCAUCUCACAACUUUUUCUCCCACAUUUUUGGGAAAAGAACGAAUUACUUUAAAAUGUAUCUUGGGGAACUGCUAGAAGAUUUUCUAAGUGUUUUUGUGUCUCUAAAUGAACUUAAUAUGUGUUCAUUGUGUAACCAGAACAGUCUGUCUGGUAGAGGAAGAACUUGGGUCCCUGGUAAACAAAAUGGUCUCAGCCUUGCUGGAGCAUGUCUUUCCUAAGUAGUGGGCACAGAAGCAGGAUAAUUGGCUACCUCCUGGUUGCAAAUAUAGGUAUGUUAACGGUGGGCCUGAGGGGAACCUCCAUUUUGGGUUGUAGUUUAUUAUUAGGUGAGGAAAUUACUGGACACCUCCAGCUGCCAUUAAUCAGCUGCAGAGUCAGACUGGAGCCAAGGGAGAAGCCUGUGGGUGGAUUCUGCCCGGUACUGUGGAAAUACAAGAAGACAGAGACAAAUGUUUUCCAGCCUAGCAGCACUAAACUCUGCCCUUUCACAGUCCUUAACAUGCGUGUUCAAAUUGAUUUAGUCCAUUUACCCCCAACCUAACCAUCUAUUUUCCUUGAAGACUGACAGUUUUAUGUGUCACUACCAUGUUAUUUUCUGUUGCUCCUCUGCCGGUAGCUAUAGUGUUUCAGAAACAUUUACUUCCAGACGUAAAGGAUGAGUGAGGAGGGGGAUGUAGAGAAAGGGAGGUGAGGUUGCAUUAUUUUAACUCCUUUUUUUUAUGGGGUGCAAAACAUGCCCAUCAUGGCACCAACUUUCUCCCUCCCUCUCUCUUCUUUAUUCCUUUUCUGUGUCAAUGAUUUCCGUGAAAAAGCCUUGAAUAAAAUUUCCCACUUGAGAAAUGCAUCUGUCAGGUGAUGUCAAUGCCUAGCUUACUCCUCUUCCUGUUGGGUUGCAAACAUGGCAUUCUCUCAUGGUCCUGGAAUGCUGACACGGCCAAGUGGCAGAAGCCAAACACAGGUAGGGUCAAGGUGAAAACCUCAGUGGGGCCAUCGUCCACUGCUUAGCUUUGGAGGGAAUGGGAAAAGUCCAGGAGCAAUUUGUUACCUCUGCUCCUGUGUAAAUUCAGAAAAGGGGGAUGGUGGAGAUAAAAACCAAGACAGCCCCCUGUCAGCUGCAGGGACAUCAGUCAAGACAUUCCAAGUGCUUGUCCCGUUGGCAGUGUUUGCCUCAGGAUGAGCAGGAAUUCAGGUCUGACCCUUGCUUUCUUGGAAUUGGAUGAAAGUGACUUAUCUGAACAUGUAAGAAUAUUUCUGGCUCCGGAGGCCAAAGACUAAAAUUCAGAGUUAAAAUAAAUACUCAGAGAAGGAAAGGAAACAGAGAGGUCAAAGGUUUCAUCAGAUAGGAACCUCUAAGAUUACUGACUUAACCAUACCUUUGUUUUAUUCUGUCUGGUUUUCGUGUACUACUCUAUGCCACAGAAAACAGAGAGACUCUCUUUUUACUCAUCCUGCUUUUGUGUAGAAGGGUAGAAGAUGACAAUUCCAUUGAUUUAUGUAGACAAAUACAAAUAAAAUAAGCAAAAUAAAAUAAAAUAAGCCAUUUUGAAAUGUGUAACCAGAUAUGAGUAUUUGCCCCUGUUUCCAGUGCAUUAGUAUUUGGUGAUGUAUAGUGGCUGAUUCUAUAGUCAUAACUAUUACCCAGUAAGAAAAAAAGUUUUUAAAAUAGUACCCUUAGAAUGAGUGUACCGUUUUCUGAUGAAGGAUAUUCCCAAUAUGGGAAGGAUAUUGACUGAAACUGAUAUAUGCAUGUAUGUGCGUGUGUUUAAGGAAAAAACACUAUUACUCUAGCACAGAUUAAAUUUGGGACUUAGGGCCAUAGUCAGCUGGUGACUUUCCCUGCAGGUCCUCUCUGCACUGCUGGAGACCACAGGCAGGAUGCCUGCCUGCAUGCUGAGAUGGUGUUUGUGGUCACUCUUACAUGCCAGACAUCCAGUCUCCAUGUGAUGACUGUGGAAUGACAGAGAAGGCUUUCCUGACAUGCGCCAGCUUUUCUUCACCCUUCUGCUCCAGUACUGUCGUGGGCUUGACGCUUGCAGCGCUGGCCCCACCCUGCCCUGCCAGUCUGAGGACGGCCGGAUGAAUUACCCACACUACUUUCUGCCUGGACUGAAUUUUCUUUGAUGGAAUGCCAUGCAGAUACCACCUGAUAACACAAACCUCAGUAUGAAGAGCUGAUAGAUCACAAAGCUACUGUAGGCAAUCUUCACCUACCAGUGAACUUUAAAAGUAUUUAAAAUCUCUUUUUAAAGGGCAUGAGAAUAUAAAUAUACAAACUACUUAGUCACUGAAAAACUUAUCUUUACUGUUUUGGAAAUGUGAUGAAGAAGCUCUAAGCACUAUCUGGAAGUGGAAGAUUGUAUGACCAUGGCUCAGAAUCCAAAAUUGGGAUCUACAUUGUAAAGCACUAGGACUACCUUUAUGGGAACCACAGAACAGACUGUUCAAAAUCAAGAAUGAGCAGGAAUCCAGACAAUUGGAACAGGAUACCAUCAUCUGUGGAAGGGGAACUGACACUUUGGGCCAAAGGAAGAUGGCCAUGGUCUUCUGUUAGGGUCAGUGAAUUCAGAGAGCUAAUUGCAAGGGCAGUGGGCAGUGUGCUGUGCUUUGAAGCCCUAAGGAGAAAGCCCCUCUGUUUUAGAACAGUAUGCUGUAUCUUGGUUAUAUGAGUACAAUGUAUAAAGGAAAGAAAAAGGAUCAAGAUAAAGAUGCCACUGGGAAAGAAUACACAGCCAUCUGGAUAAUUAAUUCUUUUUGGUUAAAUACUUGUGGCUGAGUUAUGUUUAGACUACAAAUGGAGAGAGGUGAUUGUAGAAGACUUUCAGCACAGACACCCCUUAUCAGUUAUAUCAAACAAUGUCUUACAUGGCAUCAACACAGUGUGAGAAUAUAGAUAACUCUCCAGGAUUCCAGAAGAUACAACCCAGCAGGGUAAGCAGGCAAUGAUUUCCUUUAGCUGUUUUAUAAUCUUAAAUCAUGCUAUUCCACACACGUCAAAUUGAGGGCUGGCAAACACAAAAGAUGGCCAUCAGGAUCCCGUUUCACCAUUUUGUCAAAUUAUAGUUCAUUUGACUCUGUAUCUCAGUUUUUAUUUUUAGUGUUUGACUUUAUAUUCUGUUUACUUUUUUUAUUGUCUUUUUUUCCCCCUCCGAAUCAUUGCAAUUGAGUAUAGGUGUAGGAACAGUUCUUGAAUGCUUUGGGGGCCUCCCCAUAUAGGGUAGUAGGAUUUCUGGAAGGGCUGAGUGAGACAGGAGGAAUCCUUCGAAAUAAUUUUUUGUUUGGGUCUGGAAUUGAAAUCUUGAGCUUAUAUUUAAGCAUGUGCAAUACCAAAAUACUUAUCAAGAACUUGGAAUAAUUUCUUCACUUUAAACCACACUAUUUAAGAAUGAAAACUUGAGAAUUGAAUGACAGAGCAGUUAAAUAUACAUAUAUAAAGCAUAUAUAAUGAUAUAUAUCAUUAUAUGUAAAUGUAUAGACAUUAUAAAUAUAUAUAUAUACCCACAUAUAUACAUAUGUGUAUAUUUAUACUUUAUAUACACACACAUAUACACACACUUUCCCUUGAUGGAUAAUAUAUAAACAAGAAACAAAGUGAAACAGAUUUGCCUUGUGCUUAAAAGUUACCAUGCUGAAUUUAGUAUAAUUCGACAAAUAUUUAUAGAACAACUGUAUACUAGAUGUUAGGAAAGGAGAGAAAAUUAGUUGUACAGAUUUUUGUCCUUAAGGUGCUUAUGUUAUAAUUUAGGAGACUAGAGAGUAAACUGAAAAUGUUAUUGUGUGACAAGGUAAACAGCAGACGAGCUAGGACAGCACUACUACGUCCAGGCUGUUAUGCACUGCAGGUGUAAACGCUGUCCUAGAGGGUUUAAACAUGUGCAGAGAAUUGUGAAGAAAAAAUUUGACCUAUGUGUUUGCAUUUUGAUUUGAGCUGUUUCUUGUGUGUAAAUGAUCACCAAAUUUACACAAUAACCUUAUAACCCUGAAACGUUUUUCUUAAUUAUGUCCUUGACUAGAUAUCACUUUUCCCUUCCAGUUCCAACAUUUUGUUAUUCUGUGACUCAAGAAAUUUGGUCUCGCUGCUGGCUUUGUGAGGAGUACGAGGUUUAAAGAAUAAACAACACCCCACUUAAUCACACCCCUACUUUUUGUUGUUGACUUUGGUGAAAGCCCCUCAUAUAUUAGAGACAGUUUCAGAAAUCUUGUGAAUCAUUUAACAAAUUAUUACAUCGUUAUUCAACUUUAAUUUAAUGAUAAUUACAUAAAUUAAUGAUUUCAAAACUGCUAAGGUUUGGUCAAGUCUAAAUUAUAACAAUGUGAAUUAUAGGCUGUUUUAUCUUUUAUUUUAGUUAACAAAACCACAGUGGGUUAGCCUGCAGGAAAUCUGGUCAAUUUUCAUGAUAAAUUGACUUGGCCAUAUAAUGCAUAAUUCAGUUGCACAGCUGUGUAGUCUGGUGUGUUUUCUCUGAGGAAUGUAGCUUUAUUUAUAGGUUUGUAUUAAGAAAAUCUGCUCCACUGUUUCACUUAUAUCUCAGAAACGUAUAAACCUGUGCAUACUAAUUUUUAACAUAAAAACAAACUAUACCUUAGUAUCAAAUUGCACAUAUAUUUUCUAAAAUUCACAUGCCAGGUUUUAAAGAACCACAUGAAAGUUCUUUGGAAGCUUUUCAUAUCAUUCUUGUAAUGGACCCCUUAUAUAGAAAAAUCCUAUUUUUUUAUGUUCAUAGUUUCAAUAAAAAUGUUCCUUAGUAUUAGGUAUUGAAUUUUUUUUAUUAAUGAAGAGGUUGGAUGCCAUAGGGCUAAUAGUAUGAAUAUUGAAGUCAUAGGCUGUAAAUAUUCCUUUUCUGUUUUCAUAAAUGCUGAAUGCCAUAACAUGAACAAAACCAAUAUAUAAAAUUGUAUUUUUUCCUUCAUCCCUUAUAGUCAUACAAGGGAAUACAGAAAUCACUCCAUUAUGGAUCCAAUCUCCAAUGAUGUUACCAUCAUGGUUUAACUUAGAAACAGACUAUAUAUGCAUCAGUAAGAACAAGGGGCUAAUGUGAGUCUCAAAGGUACUGAGGUCACCUGAGGCUGGUGACAGUAGAUAAAGUGGUCAGUUAUGUAGCUGUAUAAAAGCUGUUUGAUGACAGGAUUGAUUCUGAGAGCUAAGGUAGGCGUGCCAAAGGAGGUUCCUUGAAUCUUAUUAAAAUACACCUUUUAGCCAUGAACAGACCGGGGCAUUCUACGAACUGGAAAAGCCCAUUGAAAUAGUUCUGAUGUGGAGACUAUCUGUUCCACAGUCAUUGAAAUAAUAUUUCUUCAUCAAGCUUCAGCAUUGUAUGGUUCUUAAGAUUUUAGAAGGGAGGCAAAGGAGUGUUUCCAGAUGUUUCAGAAUAUUAUUUUAGGCAGAACUUUUAGCCAGAGUUUUUAUUUUGGCUAUGCUUACCUUUGAGGAAGUUAAAAAAUUUCGACUUAAAUAGUAGAUAUGAAGUCCAUCUAGAAAUUCGAUUACAGGUGAACAGUAUGCUCUUCUUAAUUUCCUUUUUAUAGGAUUGGUUGCAUAGAAUUACACUCCUUAACCAGCUGGUAUAUUUCAGAGAGAGUGUUGGACACAGGGAGUAAGCUGUCUGCUAAGUAUUUCCAGUUUCUUACUUCUACUUUAUUGUCAUUAUUCAUGGCAAUUAUCAUUAUUCAUAGUCACUAGAAAUAAUAAAAAGAGGUGAAAGUGAAAUUAAUGCUACAUUUAUUCUUUAUUAGGAUAUUAGAAUGAUUAUUUGAUAGAAAUUUGUGUAAAUUAAAUGCCAGAUAUACUUUCAAGAUUUUAUAUCGAUGCUUGAUAUUACAUAAUCAUUUUUCUGAGUGGGAACCAGUUAAGGUUACUGGGAAAACAUCAAGUAAAUAUAUAUUAAAUGCUGCUGAACUAUUUUAUGCAUUUAGCAAUAUUAUAGACAAGGGAGCUGAAACCCAAAUUUUGGUGAGUUAAAUAUUCCUUAAGGCUUAUGAUACCAUUAGAACAUAAUCUGUGGACUAUAGUACUAGAUUUCAAAAUAGUACUGAAAGUUCAAAAUUCUCAGAUGGUUUAAUUUUACGAAUUCAUGAUUUUUGUAUUUAUCUAGUAUGAUUUUAAAAUGUAGGUUAUUUACUAAAAUGUAAUUAAUAAUUUUCAGUAAUGUCUAAUUUAGGCAUUUCGAUAUAUACUUUGUUUCUGCCAGUACUCUAAGACUGAGGAAAUUGCACAAGAUUACUACCCAUUCAUACAGAAAAACCCGAACUGGAAAAUUAACAGCAUAGCUGGAAAGACUAAUGAAGUUAGUAUUUAAAAAUGCUUGUAGAGGCUCAAAAUCUAUCCCUGGACCCCAGAGGUGGCUUUUUAAAAAUAUAUAAUCAACGCAGUCAUGAAACUUCAGAAUCAUUUACUAUCACACUGGUGAACUACAAUUGUCUGUACUGCAACUUCCACAAUUUUUUCCUCACAAUUGUCUUUUACCACUCAUCAUUUCCUUUGGACGAAGUGCCUUUAUUAUACUCUCUUUAAAAAGACAAGUGGCUAAAUUGACCGGUAAGGUAGCUGGCCCGGGUUCGAACUCUGUUAUUGAAUUCCUAUAGUGGGAGUGAAAACAAAAAUACUGAUGGAUGCCCAUGUUAUGCCUACAAUUAACAGAGUAAACAUCCUAAUAGGCAUAGAAGACACAAACAGAUGUUCCAAUUGCAUGUCUGUGAGAAGCUGAUGUUUACUAGUUCCUUUCUGGCUUGGCCUUUGAGACCUCAGGAAGUUUCCCUCCCAGUGGGGAUUUCAGUGAUUUAUUGAUUUCAGCACAAUGAAUAUUUCAGAAACUAGCAGGAUUUUUAAGAGGUUAAACACAUCCUUACAAAGGUCAGCGUUGAUUCAUGCUUGAAGGGAAUGCUUGCUCCGCUUUAACCGGGGUAAGGGCGGUCACGUUUGCCACUCCUGCCUUGGUGGGGAGGACCACGGACAGGGGAAUGAAAGGGAUUUCCCAACAGAGAAUGUAGAAAUAGAACAUCAGCACAGAUUUUUUUUUCCUUUUAGCUGAACAAAAAUGAGGGAGGUAUGAAUAACUGCGAACUCCUAAAAAUUCCUGGUUGAAACACCAAUUGGUUUUGUUCAAAACAGUGAAGAUGAAUUUUAGGCUUGUAUUUGAGACACUCAGAACUGAAUAAUGUAAUAAGCCUCAGAAAUUCGAAAGAUUUUUAAAUGCUGAAAAUAUAUCUAUACCUUCUGUAUUGAAUUUACAAAUAUAUUCUGAUGUAGUUAGUUGGCCAGGGUUUACCAGAAACAGUCUAAAUAAAGUAAUUGAUGAGUAUUUUGUGUUCUGUGCUUUCUUCUUAGGCGCACUCAUGGUUAUUAAUAAACUGAUAUGUCCUCAUUAGUAUUAAUAAUGAUACUCAAUACUUAUCGAGAAUUUACUUAAUGCCAGGUACUGUGUAAAUGCUUUAAACAAAUUCUCAUUAAAAGAAUGCCAUUACAUCAGAAGAUUAAGUAUGAAAUCACAGCUGUUAUUUUGCAAUAAAUGCAAACAAUAUUUAUUUUCUUCUUAGCUUCUCUUUUAGGUUGUGUUCAGCCUUAGAAGCAUAAGAUCUGGCUAAGUAUUUUCUUCUUCUGAUUAAAAACAAUAGCAGAUAAGAAUCCUGCGCUAGAACAGGCCUUCUGCUUGAGUAUUUUAUGUCUGUAGACUAGCUGGAUACACGUGGCUGUUGGAUACCUGAAACAUAGCUGGUCUGAACUGAAGACUUUGGAUGCAGGAAAUAAUUUAAAAUACUGCCUUAAUAUUUGUGUAUUGACUACAUGUGAAAAUAGUAGUAUUUUAGACAUACAGGGUUAAAUAAAGUAUAUCAGUAAAAUUAAUUUAAUCUGUUUCUUUUACUUUUUUUUCCUUAAUGUAACUACUAGAGAGUUAAAAUUUUGAUAACCAAUUAUUUACCUAGUGGACACUGUAAAGUUUCUCAUAUCUUGGAAUCAGAUUGUAUACCACCAACUUCAUUUCCUGUCUGCACUGAUUUUUUGUAUGGUACCUCCUUUUGGCCAAAGCAAUCAUAGAAAGCCCAGCUUCACAAAGAUAUGACAUCAUCCCAAAGUGUAGUGUGAUCUAACAUUGAAACUGUGUACUCCUUUGAACUAUCAGGUCUUGUGGUGUCUACUAUUUGUGGAGUACUGCAAA